Molecule: unclassified non-coding RNA, 4253 nt
Filed under: Patiria miniata (bat star)
Lineage: Eukaryota; Metazoa; Echinodermata; Asteroidea; Valvatida; Asterinidae
Description: transient receptor potential cation channel subfamily M member 5-like, transcript variant X3
Source: RNAcentral
AUCAUGCUAUUAAUAGCACAGCUGACAUGUGUAAACAAACACGUGAGUGCACACACAGAAUUUCGGCAGGAAAAUACUCACAACUACUUGGAAAUAAAACCUAAAAAGACAACAGGAAUUUACCAGACGAAAAUGCCAGAUCUCUAGGAUAAUAUAGUUUUUAUUAGUUGACCAGUCCUUGAGCAUAGACGACAUCCUGAAUAUUCUGAGAAACAAGUGGGCCAUGCAACCUCCCAAGCUGCUCAUCUGCAUCUUAGGAGGCGAUAAAUCGGAUGCGUGCAUGACCAGUGACGUGGCGAAAGAAAUUUGUGAGGCUCUGGUUGAGGCAGUCCUGAGUACCGAUGUCUGGUUGAUGACGGGUGGUCUCCAGCUUGGAUUGGUGAAGAGCAUAGGGGAGGCCUUGGCUGAAGAAGCCACGGGUCGCGCUUUAAUCAAGCAGAGGGAUCUGGUGGCAAUAGGCGUAGCACCUCUCAGUGUCCUGCAUCAGAAAGAGAAAUUCAGCGUCACCCGAAGCCUCCAAAGAGUACCCCGAUAGUACUGGACUAUUCUGCACAUACGGCCGAAAAGCCGGGUAGCAUGCUUGAACCGAAUCACACUCACUUCAUCUUAGUGGAUGACGACGGACAGGAGCUGGGUAUUGAAGCCAAGACAAGGAACCAACUGAUAGCCAAGACAAGGAACCAACUGAUCAACAAGAUAGCGACUUGGAAAAUAGGAGAAGACGUCACAAAUGCCACAAUUCCUGCUGUCUAUCUCCUCCUUGGCGGUGACGUCACCAUCUUCGAGACUCUGGCGGAUGCCGCCAAUAACAACAUUCCGAUCGUCGUCUUCCCAGAAUCCAAAGGGGCCGCCGAGGUGCUGGUUGAAAUCUUGGAUGCUCACGAGAGGAUCGAUCAGAAACAGUUCGGAAAAGAGGCCGUUAAAAUUUUGAUAAGGAAGCUCCACUUGACAGAAGACACUGCAGUUCAUCAAUUCAAUGGGCAGAUUCAGUCUGUUAUCGAACGACGUCAUCUAAUCAAAAUCUAUCUGCCGAAGCAAAAAAAGGAUAACGGCACCAUUCUCACUGUCUUGAUGCAAGCUUCCAUGGUGACCACCACGGAGCUGAUGCCAGCCAUAAGAUGCAUGGAGAGUGCCCCACAAGGACUCGACGAUUCUGCCGUCGUCACCAAAAGUGGUUCCGAUGAGGUGAAACAACAACAUGGACCGGACGACUCGGAGACAGACAAGAUAUUACGCCGCCAGUACGAGGACAUGCACCGGGCUGUCACCGGGAACCAAAUUCACACUGCCAAGUCCAAUUUUGAUGAAAACAGCGUGAUAUGGCAGAACUUGGACUUGGUGAAAAAGUUACUGCACAUCGCCCUCGUCAAUGAUCAGCACAAAUUUGUCAAGUUCUUCAUCGUGGUUGGGAGGAUUGACGUCGGGAAAGUCCUGACAAACGAUCAACUGAAGAAAUUGUACAACGAGAUAGAUAAUCGCUCUGUUGUCUUCAAAAUAUUGGAGGAAAUGAAGGAAAAUGAAACGAAUUCCGACAACAAGUUUUCCCUGGAGGAUGUCGAUCGUCUCAUGAAAGAGCUGAUUUUUGACACGUACACGACUCAUAGGGAUGAGCCUGCCAAGCACCCAUAUAAGGAGUUGUUUUUGUGGGCGGUGCUCCAGGAUCGCAUCCCGAUGGCCAUGGUCUUUUGGAAGCUUGGCAAGCUGUCCAUGGGAGGCGCGCUAGUGGCACUCAAGCUCCUGAGGGAAUUGUCAAACCGCCAGGAAGAGAUUGACGCAAAGAAAGCUGCCAAUAUGAAGCAGCAUGCCGAGAAAUUCGAGCAGAUGGCAGUAGAUAUCCUGGACAUGUGCUAUGAGGACGACAGACGGCGUACAUCGGAACUGUUGGCGCGGGUCAUGCCGGAGUGGGGUGGUGCCACGGGUCUGGACAUCGCCGCUGCUGCGAAGAGCAAGCUCUUCAUAUCGCAAGUGGGCGUGCAGAGUCUGCUCAGCGAGCUCUGGAUGGGAAGGCUGUUUAUUACAACACACACAUUUAGGAUCUUCCUGUGUCUGCUCUUUCCCUUCUUCUCAACCUUUCUGAUAACCUUCUGUGCCGAGAAUGACACGAGUGUUCCACUGAAAAGGAAAAAGGGACGUGUACCUGCGAAAACGUCGGGUAACAGUAAUGGAAUGGCUCAGAACGACAGAAAUUGUGGAUAUGGAGGGGAAUUGGACGAACUCUGGUGGUACGAGAAGUUGAAACUUUUCAUGGAGGCACCUGUUGUAUGUUUCAGCUACGAUGCGAUUUCCCACAUGGCGUUUCUGGUGCUGUUCAGCUACAUCAUGCUGUCCAACUUUCAUCCAGAAGUCUCAGUCUUUGAGAUUGUUCUGAUGUUCAUGGUCUUCACAAAGUUCACCGAGGAAUUACGCCAGAUACUUCAGGAGGAGUACAACACGCUGCUGCACCGUUUCCAAGCCUGGCUGUUGGGCUGGAACAUUGUGGACCUGAUCUCCCUGGUCAUGUUCGCUGUCGGUGUCGGCCUGCGAUUCCACCCAGCAACCUUCGCCGCGGCGCGCAUUGUGCUGGCUCUGGACCUCAUGGUGUUCUACCUCCGGAUUCUAAACAUCUGCUACGCCAGCAAGCUUUUGGGUCCAAAGCUCAUCAUGAUCACAAGGAUGAUGGUGGAUUUGAUCAGCUUUGUCUGUAUCCUGCUUGUGUUUCUGAUCGCCUAUGGAGUAACCUGUCAGGCCAUCUUCUAUCCUAAUUCCACCGAUCCAGAGUCCAUCGCUAAAGGAGUCCUGUACCGAUCCUACUUCCAGCUGUACGGCGAGCUGUUUCUGGAUGGUUACGACAACUGUGCUACGGACGAGACGCAACUUGAAGGUGGUAUGGUGUCCUGCCCCCAACAUUCCUGGUUCUCUACAGUUAGUUUAGUCUUCUACCUGUUCAUCAGUAACAUCCUUCUGAUCAACCUCCUCAUUGCUAUGCUGAACUACACCUUCACAGCAGUUCAAGAGAACACGGAUGCAUACUGGAAAAUUCAGAGGUACCAGCUGAUCAAGGAAUAUUACCGCCGCCCAGCGUUAGUUUCCCCUUUCAUCCUGCUGGUUCAUAUGUACCAGUUGGUGCGCUACCUCGUGGAGCGAUUUUCUGAAUGCAAAUUGUACAGGGUGCCUAAUCUCAUGAAGAGAAACUUUCAGCCCAAGGUGAUGGCGGAGCUGUUGGCCUUUGCGAAGUUGAAGUGCCAGGAUUAUCUGACCGAUCUGAAAGAGAAGAAGGUGGACAAAAAGAAGAAGAAGAUGGCGAAAAUCGAAAAGAAUUUGUCAAUGAAGGCUACCCAGAAGCAGGUGGAGGAAAUCAAAAAAGAGCUCGAGGCACUGUCCUCACGCAUGAAGAGGAAUCAGAUUCUGAGUGAAAAUUGUGACGUAGGAAAAGAAGUAACAACCCGAACGAGAUGCGACAAGAAAAAAGCAACAAGGCCCCAAACGGCUUAUGAGUAGUGAUGUAGGGUGGACGGAACACCUGCUUGGACUCCAGUUUGCCCUUUUCCUUUACUGAAUCCCACCCUUUCGUCCAGUCGAGCAGGAUAGACGGAAAGCUCUUUGUUUUUCGUUAUUAUCUUGGAAAUAUAGCUACAACCAUCAGAGAACGAUAACUAUGCCAAAGGAUGUUGCGCAUUCAUGUUGAGGUACAACUGUUUAACGGCUUGGUUUUUGCUGUCACGAUUUCGAGGUCUUUUUUAAGCUCUGACAGGAGCUUCUACGUGUUGAUCACUUGGUGGUCAGUCGGUCGGUCGGUCUGUCUGCCUGUCGUCUGUCUGCCCCGAAAAUUGACCCAAGUGUGGUGUUCCAUAUGUGCCAUCGGCGCUGAUAUUUUUAAGCUCUGGCAGGGAUAGGCCUAAGUUUGGUCGAUUUCAUGCAAGACUGUCAAGUAUGACUUCUUGCAACACGACCAGAGCUUAUUGUGCACUCGCACUUUUUGUAUCCUCCUAGGAGUACCAACUGCCACUACCUUUUUUCCUACCAGCUUAGGGGUUCCUAAUAAUUAUUUUCUAUCUUCCUAUAAAGGGGUUUUGUGAUGCCUAUUUUUCAAUUUCCUAUGGGGGUCUUUUCAAGAGGAGUUUUCAGGGGUUUUCUCUAUAAACACUUCCUAUUUUUAAGCUCUGGCAGGGGCUUUUAUACUUGUCACUUGGUGGUCGGUCGGUCGGAUGGUCUGUCCGUCGGUCCCGAAAAUUGACCAAAAGUAUGGUGUUCCAUUAGUGCCAUCGGCGUCGCAU